Molecule: ribosomal RNA, 261 nt
Filed under: uncultured bacterium
Lineage: Bacteria
Description: partial 16S ribosomal RNA
Rfam family: Bacterial small subunit ribosomal RNA
Source: RNAcentral
UGCUGCCUACGGGGCGCAGCAGUAGGGAAUCUUCCACAAUGGACGAAAGUCUGAUGGAGCAACGCCGCGUGAGUGAAGAAGGGUUUCGGCUCGUAAAGCUCUGUUGGUAGUGAAGAAAGAUAGAGGUAGUAACUGGCCUUUAUUUGACGGUAAUUACUUAGAAAGUCACGGCUAACUACGUGCCAGCAGCCGCGGUAAUACGUAGGGGGCAAGCGUUAUCCGGAUUUACUGGGUGUAAAGGGAGCGUAGGCGGGGCAGCAA